UACGGAGGGAGCUAGCGUUGUUCGGAAUUACUGGGCGUAAAGCGCACGUAGGCGGCUAUUCAAGUCAGGGGUGAAAUCCCGGGGCUCAACCCCGGAACUGCCUUUGAAACUGGAUGGCUAGAAUCUUGGAGAGGCGAGUGGAAUUCCGAGUGUAGAGGUGAAAUUCGUAGAUAUUCGGAAGAACACCAGUGGCGAAGGCGACUCGCUGGACAAGUAUUGACGCUGAGGUGCGAAAGCGUGGGGAGCAAACAGG
Molecule: ribosomal RNA, 253 nt
Filed under: uncultured bacterium
Lineage: Bacteria
Description: partial 16S ribosomal RNA
Rfam family: Bacterial small subunit ribosomal RNA
Source: RNAcentral